RNAcentral lists this transfer RNA (70 nucleotides) under Marmota monax (woodchuck). It matches the Rfam family "tRNA". From Rfam's summary of the family: Transfer RNA (tRNA) molecules are approximately 80 nucleotides in length. Their secondary structure includes four short double-helical elements and three loops (D, anti-codon, and T loops). Lineage: Eukaryota; Metazoa; Chordata; Mammalia; Rodentia; Sciuridae. The record is from Rfam by way of RNAcentral.
GGUAGUGUUGCUCAGUGGCAGAGCACUUGCCUCAAGUGUGAGGCCUGAGGUUUGAUCCCCAGCACUGCUU